UGUGUCUUCUCUUUUCUUAUAAAGACAUCAGUCAUAUUGGAUUAAGGGCCCACCCUAAUGGGCGGAUCUUAACUUGAUUAUAUCUGUUAAAGAUCUCAUUUCCAAAUAAGGCCAUAUUCACAGGUUCCAGGGGUUAGGAUUUUUUUGGAGGGGGACACAAUUCAACCCAUACCAUGUGGCUAGGAUUUUCUCAGUGAGGGAAUGUAGACUCUAACUUUACCAAAAUCAUAGUAUCAUUCUGUUUCUGCUCCAAAAAUUCUAACUUCUUUUCAAGUGCCUUCACAAAACAAAGGAACAGUCAGAAAUCACGCAACAGUUUCUAAUGUAAUGUGUCAACAAGUAUUUGAUAAAGUAUUUGAUACAGUUCCUCUUAGAAAAGAGAAAAGGGCAUCCAAAGCAUGUCAGAGAUAGGAGCUGAUGACUUAAGACCCCCUGAGAUUUUCGAGAGACUCAUCUCCCUGGGUGGCACAGGUAAUGUGCCAAAGAAAACAAGGUAAUGAUAAGUUCAAAAGAUUCAUCAAGGGGAAGAGAUAGAAGAUGUCCUAAAGUUACUUACUCUAUAAAUAAUUUAGCAUGACAAAUCUUUGAUACCAGUGAGUAUUUAGAAAACAUAAUCGAUGCUAAGUUAUGAUGUACCAUUCAGCACCUAACAGAUUAUAGUAAACAACUGUUGUUACAGUCUGUCCCUGACUUUCUUCUCCAGACUUUGGAUAUGCCCACCUUCCCCUUGGGGUACCACUUCAAGGUCUCUUUCCAUUGUCUCUUCCCCUGUGCGAGCUCUCUUUCUCUCCCUUGUAAGCACUCAUAGGUACCUUCACAGGCACCUCUCUGCAUCAGUCCUAGUCCUGCUCUCUGGCUUCCUCUAAUCUCAAUGCCCACUCCCUACUCCUAUGCUGGUAUCUUUGAUACACAUCCAUGCUUCUCAAACUUGAACGUGGGAUCUUGUUACAAUGCAGCCUCUGAUUCAGUAUAUCUGGGGAAGGGCCAUCCUCUGUUUCUAACAAACUCCUGGGCAAUGACCACACCACUGGCCCAUGGACCACCCUGAUGGAUGGCCCUCCAAGGCCCUCUCUAUAAGCCCUACCACCUGCCCCAACAGAGCUUCCCUUCCUCAUCAAGGGCUCAUACUUCAAAAUAAUUUUUUAUCACUACCACCCACCUCCUCUCAUCAGCUCCUGUCACCUCAAGCACAUCUCAGGUACUCAGAUGAUAAAAUAACCCUACUGAAGAAUGAAAUAAGAUGCACUCUCCCUACUGCUCCCCCCGUCCCCCUCCCAGAGAUUUUCCUUGGUGGUUUGUAUGAAUAUUUUAACCAAGCAGAUGCUCAACCACUGAGUCACCCAGGUGCCCCCCACGCCCAUCAGCUCCAUUUCGUACACGUGGACAGAGAAACACAUAGAUGUUUAGUGUUUGCCCAAAUUAAACGGUGGAGCUGAGAUUAGAACCCAGGCGAUCCGGUUGCAUGUCACAUCCAGUUGCCUCCUCUGGAGAAUCCGAUCAUGUAGACAGCAUACAGCCCUCCUCAGUGAUCGCUCUCAUUAUUAAGUUGAUAGGCCGUAAUUGUGUCUGUGAGAACAGCCAUGAUUCCAUCAGAAGUUCAAAGUAAAACAGAGUUAAAAUUACAUAGCUCACCUUUUCAUCACAUGUGUGCAGGAUGGAAACGACCGUCUUGGUAGGCAGGAUUCUCCGAUCCUUAUUUCACCCUAAAGCAGCUCUUUUUCCUUACAUCUUCUAAAGAUUCAAGACAUCAAGACAUGCUAAAGGUUUUACGGGUGAGGGCAAUCGCUUCAUUUGUGUGUAGGGGUGCAUGUGCAUGCACAUGCGUGUGCACGUGGGUGGGGGUAUGUGUUUGGGGAGGAGGAGAGCACAGUAGUAAAGAAUACUGGUGACUCUCUUCUAAAAAUGUUUUCCUUACCUCUCCUUUUAAAGAUAAGCGUAUGCGGUGUCUCUGCCAGGAGACCUUAAUGGACUGCUUUCCUCCAGUAGCUUCUUUUCCCCCUGCUUGCUCCAUUAAAAGUCUUCUGAUUUCAAAUCACUACAGCGCAAUUGGCUUAGAUAAUGUACUGUCAUCCACACCUCAUACAUCGUGUCCAGGGGACUCGCCUUACAGUAAGCAUCACUUCAAUUGCAAGGAGCUGGCCAUGAGCCAUGACCUGUGGGGGCCCCCGGUGGCCAUUUAUUGUAAACUAUAGCUUCUGGGUGAUGCUAAUGAAGUUCUUCAAGAAGUCACAUUUGCAUGACUUCACAUUUUUGUCUCCUUUAAAACUGCUAAUAAAAGGCUGGCAAACAUGUUCUUUAUCAUUCGUUACCCCAUUUUCUUCAUCUCUCUGUACAAGGGAAACCACUUCCAUGCAUCACAGUGUAUCCCUUCAUGACCACCAAAAACCAAACAC
Molecule: long non-coding RNA, 2393 nt
Filed under: Canis lupus familiaris (dog)
Lineage: Eukaryota; Metazoa; Chordata; Mammalia; Carnivora; Canidae
Description: lncRNA (ENSCAFG00000057185.1)
Source: RNAcentral